GAAGCAAUGGGGGCUAUAAUGCAGUCGACGAACUCUGGUAUUGAUUGGUGCUUGCAUCAUGAUUUACAUUUGAGUGAGUGGCGAACUGGUGAGUAACACGUGGGAAACCUGCCCAGAAGCGGGGGAUAACACCUGGAAACAGAUGCUAAUACCGCAUAACAACUUGGACCGCAUGGUCCGAGCUUGAAAGAUGGCUUCGGCUAUCACUUUUGGAUGGUCCCGCGGCGUAUUAGCUAGAUGGUGGGGUAACGGCUCACCAUGGCAAUGAUACGUAGCCGACCUGAGAGGGUAAUCGGCCACAUUGGGACUGAGACACGGCCCAAACUCCUACGGGAGGCAGCAGUAGGGAAUCUUCCACAAUGGACGAAAGUCUGAUGGAGCAACGCCGCGUGAGUGAAGAAGGGUUUCGGCUCGUAAAACUCUGUUGUUAAAGAAGAACAUAUCUGAGAGUAACUGUUCAGGUAUUGACGGUAUUUAACCAGAAAGCCACGGCUAACUACGUGCCAGCAGCCGCGGUAAUACGUAGGUGGCAAGCGUUGUCCGGAUUUAUUGGGCGUAAAGCGAGCGCAGGCGGUUUUUUAAGUCUGAUGUGAAAGCCUUCGGCUCAACCGAAGAAGUGCAUCGGAAACUGGGAAACUUGAGUGCAGAAGAGGACAGUGGAACUCCAUGUGUAGCGGUGAAAUGCGUAGAUAUAUGGAAGAACACCAGUGGCGAAGGCGGCUGUCUGGUCUGUAACUGACGCUGAGGCUCGAAAGUAUGGGUAGCAAACAGGAUUAGAUACCCUGGUAGUCCAUACCGUAAACGAUGAAUGCUAAGUGUUGGAGGGUUUCCGCCCUUCAGUGCUGCAGCUAACGCAUUAAGCAUUCCGCCUGGGGAGUACGGGCCGCAAGGCUGAAACUCAAAGGAAUUGACGGGGGCCGCACAAGCGGUGGAGCAUGUGGUUUAAUUCGAAGCUACGCGAAGAACCUUACCAGGUCUUGACAUACUAUGCAAAUCUAGAGAUUAGACGUUCCCUUUCGGGGACAUGGAUACAGGUGGUGCAUGAUGUCGUCAGCUCGUGUCGUGGAGAUGUGGUAAGUCCCGCACGAGCGCACCUUAUUUAUCAGUUGCCAGCAUUAAGUUGGGCA
This 1127-nucleotide ribosomal RNA is filed under the name Lactiplantibacillus plantarum. Its description in RNAcentral is "bacterial SSU rRNA". It matches the Rfam family "Bacterial small subunit ribosomal RNA", at positions 1 to 1137 of the family's 1533-position model. The record is from RNAcentral. Lineage: Bacteria; Bacillati; Bacillota; Bacilli; Lactobacillales; Lactobacillaceae.